UACGUAGGGGGCAAGCGUUAUCCGGAUUCACUGGGUGUAAAGGGAGCGUAGACGGCGACGCAAGUCUGGAGUGAAAGCCCGGGGCCCAACCCCGGGACUGCUCUGGAAACUGCGGCGCUGGAGUACGGGAGGGGCAGGCGGAAUUCCUGGUGUAGCGGUGAAAUGCGUAGAUAUCAGGAGGAACACCGGUGGCGAAGGCGGCUUACUGGACUGUAACUGACGUUGAGGCUCGAAGGCGUGGGGAGCAAACAGG
This 253-nucleotide ribosomal RNA is filed under the name uncultured bacterium. RNAcentral describes it as "partial 16S ribosomal RNA". It matches the Rfam family "Bacterial small subunit ribosomal RNA", at positions 524 to 776 of the family's 1533-position model. The record is from RNAcentral.